UACGGAGGGUGCAAACGUUAUCCGGAAUCACUGGGCGUAAAGCGCAUGUAGGUGGCUUAGUAAGUGGGCGAUUAAAGACCGCUGCUCAACAGCGGGACUGUUGCCCAUACUGCUUGGCUAGAGAAUGACAGGGGCAAGUGGAACUUUAGGUGUAGGGGUGAAAUCCGUAGAUAUCUAAAGGAACACCAAUGGCGAAGGCAACUUGCUGGGUCUUUUCUGACACUGAGAUGCGAAAGCGUGGGGAGCGAACGGG
RNAcentral lists this ribosomal RNA (253 nucleotides) under uncultured bacterium. RNAcentral's name for it is "partial 16S ribosomal RNA". It matches the Rfam family "Bacterial small subunit ribosomal RNA", at positions 524 to 776 of the family's 1533-position model. The record is from RNAcentral.